GAUGAAGAACGCAGCGAAAUGCGAUAAGUAAUGUGAAUUGCAGAAUUCAGUGAACCAUCGAAUCUUUGAACGCACAUUGCGCCCGGCAGUAAUCUGCCGGGCAUGCCUGUCCGAGCGUCAUUUCUGCCCUCGAGCCUGUCCAGCAUCUAGGUGCUGUUCCGGCCCGGCGUUGGGGCACUACGGGAAGCCUCGUGCUAUCCCCCGUAGGCCCCGAAAUGAAGUGGCGGUCCUGCCGCGGCUCCCCCUGCGUAGUAUUACAGCUCGCUUCGGGACCCAGUGGAGGCCUGCCGUCAAACCUUACUCUCUAAGUUUGACCUCGGAUCAGGUAGGGUUACCCGCUGAACUUAAGCAUAUCAAUAAGCGGAGGA
This 368-nucleotide unclassified non-coding RNA is filed under the name soil metagenome. RNAcentral describes it as "partial contains 5.8S ribosomal RNA, internal transcribed spacer 2, and large subunit ribosomal RNA". The stretch from base 1 to 120 matches the Rfam family "5.8S ribosomal RNA", at positions 35 to 154 of the family's 154-position model. The record is from RNAcentral.